CUACGGGACGCACCAGUGGGGAAUCUUAGACAAUGGGCGCAAGCCUGAUCUAGCCAUGCCGCGUGAGUGACGAAGGCCUUAGGGUCGUAAAGCUCUUUCGCUGGGGAAGAUAAUGACGGUACCCAGUAAAGAAACCCCGGCUAACUCCGUGCCAGCAGCCGCGGUAAUACGGAGGGGGUUAGCGUUGUUCGGAAUUACUGGGCGUAAAGCGCGCGUAGGCGGAUCAGAAAGUUGGGGGUGAAAUCCCGGGGCUCAACCCCGGAACUGCCUUCAAAACUCCUGGUCUUGAGUUCGAGAGAGGUGAGUGGAAUUCCGAGUGUAGAGGUGAAAUUCGUAGAUAUUCGGAGGAACAUCAGUGGCGAAGGCGGCUCACUGGCUCGAUACUGACGCUGAGGUGCGAAAGCGUGGGGAGCAAACAGGAUUAGAUACCCCAGUAGUC
Molecule: ribosomal RNA, 439 nt
Filed under: uncultured bacterium
Lineage: Bacteria
Description: partial 16S ribosomal RNA
Rfam family: Bacterial small subunit ribosomal RNA
Source: RNAcentral